This 88-nucleotide transfer RNA is filed under the name Gemmatimonadota bacterium. Its description in RNAcentral is "tRNA-Leu". It matches the Rfam family "tRNA". Rfam says of the family: Transfer RNA (tRNA) molecules are approximately 80 nucleotides in length. Their secondary structure includes four short double-helical elements and three loops (D, anti-codon, and T loops). Lineage: Bacteria; Pseudomonadati; Gemmatimonadota. RNAcentral also lists the same sequence under 1 other name. The record is from RNAcentral.
GCCGGGGUGGCGGAAUUGGUAGACGCAGCGGACUUAAAAUCCGCUGGGCAAUUUGCCCGUGCGGGUUCGAGCCCCGCCCUCGGUACCA